UUUGCGUCACUCCAUACCAUGAACUUAUUUGAACCUCUAUUUCAAAACACUUAACUUUUUUUUGCAAAACACCCCUAACUUUAUAAAUAACAUCUGUAAGAACUGCCGCUAUACUUAAUUGUACACAUUUUCUGUGCGACGGUGAACAAGUUGUCGGUUUAAACCACACAGCCAAAGAGCAAUCCGUAAGAAUAAUCUAACUAAUUAAGGUAAUUACACAAGUAGCCUUAUUAAGACAUCCUGAUAAAGGAGAGGGAGGAAGCCACCUGACAAGGAGACGAUGAAAGGUAUGGAAAAGCUAUAGCGACAUUAAAAGAGGUACACGGAUGAGCUGCAAGCGAGUAUAACAAGUCCAGCCGGUCCGUCAAGACAACUGCAGACAGGACAAGUAAUACAGUAGCCUAGUCCACACGAUCUGCCUCACCUGUCCGCCGACCACACAGUCGGCUCGCAAGAUAGGAAGAAAUGACUGUCUACACGUCAGACGGGAGUUACCGAACACCCGUGACGUGGGCUAGUCCUCCCGUGACCCCGACCGCCAGCUCGCUCACUAUACCUCCCCCCCGUCGUCUCUGGCCCACUCCAACUCCCAGCUCCUCCUUAUACUGCGAACCAGGAAGCGGCUUGCCCUACUUACGCCACGCCGCGGAUUGGCUCUGGCGGUCCAGGGACAACCGGUGGGGUUGGGGGUCGGACAUGGCGCGAUAGGCUAAUGCUGAUGUCUGUCGCUGCGAUGAGGAAAGGAGGGGGUCCAUAAUAUUGAUCGUAGGUUGAAUUCCUGGGAUGAAGCUCGCGCUAGUAGGCUGUAAGGGUGGGCGAAUGCACAGUGAGCGUGUUGCUGUCAAAAACGGUAUUUAUAUUCAAAUAAAUGUACGUGUUUGCUGUGCCAGUUGAAAUGUACUGUACUGCUGUUAGCACUAUCGCUGCACUUCUGCUUUCUAUCUCAUUGUGAUUAAAGUGAUGAGACACUA
Anguilla rostrata (American eel) is the source of this 971-nucleotide long non-coding RNA. RefSeq lists it as uncharacterized. Lineage: Eukaryota; Metazoa; Chordata; Actinopteri; Anguilliformes; Anguillidae. The transcript has 5 exons. The record is from RefSeq and is a predicted model, not a curated record.